RNAcentral lists this ribosomal RNA (97 nucleotides) under uncultured bacterium. RNAcentral's name for it is "partial 16S ribosomal RNA". The record is from RNAcentral.
ACGGCCUACGGUUGUAAACUGCUUUGUACCGGAAUAAACCUAGAUACGAGUAUCUAGCUGAAUGUACGGUAAGAAUAAGGAUCGGCUAACUCCGUGC